UGUGUAGAGGGGUGAGGGUACCGUGCAUUACCGGGUAACCCUCCCUUCUUUCACAGU
Molecule: microRNA precursor, 57 nt
Filed under: Sarcophilus harrisii (Tasmanian devil)
Lineage: Eukaryota; Metazoa; Chordata; Mammalia; Dasyuromorphia; Dasyuridae
Description: mir-7398 microRNA precursor family
Rfam family: mir-7398 microRNA precursor family
Source: Rfam by way of RNAcentral